AGGAUAGUCAGGAAAUACCACAUUUUAUUUAGUACUCUACUCACAAAUAAAAAUACUAAACCCUUUGCUUUUUUAAACAUCAGAGGAAUCUUGUUCAGUUUCUGAGUUCUCUAUUUCCUCUGCAAUUAAAUUAGACCAUGAAAGAUGUUCCAGGCAGUUCAGAGCUGGCAUCUCUGACCAAAAACUGGAUAUUAGACUUUCAAGAGGCUCAAAAAGCUUCCAGAGAAAAUGAUGCAGCAGCACAGUGCAGGCAAGGAGUGUUAACACCGCGUCAGAACUUGAAGGUACGUUCACUGCCUCAAGCCAAAAUAUAUUACAGCAGAAGAAAGCUGGAGGAGAGAGGGAAAGCCCUAACGCUGUGGUGCCAUCGGUCAACAAAGCUCUAAAAACCAUUAUGACCAAAAUAUGCUUUUUUAAAAGCAUCAAAUUUAUGAAGAAGAAAAAAUGAAAAUGAAUGGAAUUGAAAGUCACCCCAUGCUGCUGAAAAUCUUAUUCCUGUUCUUCUAAGAGCAUUACAAAGUUAAAUUACACAAGGGAAAGAUUUUCAAAGACACAGAAGGACAAAUAGGUAUCCCACUCCCGUUAAAAGUUAUUUCUACUGUUUCAAAUAAAUCCAGUAGAAACAAACA
This 629-nucleotide long non-coding RNA is filed under the name Phasianus colchicus (ring-necked pheasant). RNAcentral's name for it is "lncRNA (ENSPCLG00000006528.1)". Lineage: Eukaryota; Metazoa; Chordata; Aves; Galliformes; Phasianidae. The record is from RNAcentral.